AAACUCAAAGGAAUUGACGGGGACCCGCACAAGCGGUGGAGCAUGUGGUUUAAUUCGAUGCAACGCGAAGAACCUUACCUGGUCUUGACAUACACGGAACUUUCCAGAGAUGGAUUGGUGCCUUCGGGAACCGUGAUACAGGUGCUGCAUGGCUGUCGUCAGCUCGUGUCGUGAGAUGUUGGGUUAAGUCCCGUAACGAGCGCAACCCUUAUCCUUAUUUGCCAGCACAUCAUGGUGGGAACUAUAAGGAGACUGCCGGUGAUAAACCGGAGGAAGGCGGGGACGACGUCAAGUCAUCAUGGCCCUUACGACCAGGGCUACACACGUGCUACAAUGGGAAGGACAAAGGGUUGUUAAGCCGCGAGGUGGUGCUAAUCUCAUAAAUCUUUUCGUAGUCCGGAUCGGAGUCUGCAACUCGACUCCGUGAAGUCGGAAUCGCUAGUAAUCGUGGAUCAGAAUGCCACGGUGAAUACGUUCCCGGGUCUUGUACACACCGCCCGUCAUACCAUGGGAGUGGGUUGCAAAAGAAGUGGGUAGCUUAUCUGGGCGCUCACCACUUUGUGAUUCAUGACUGGGGUAAAGUCGUAACAAGGUA
RNAcentral lists this ribosomal RNA (595 nucleotides) under uncultured bacterium. RNAcentral's name for it is "bacterial SSU rRNA". It matches the Rfam family "Bacterial small subunit ribosomal RNA", at positions 897 to 1498 of the family's 1533-position model. The record is from RNAcentral.